AACCCUUCGUUUCUCGCCUCUCACGGGCCGGCGACGCCUCCUCCCCUGUCCCCUCCUCUUCCUUCUUGCCCGGGCUCUUCCAAUUCCAUGCCCCCCCCGGCCCGCCACUCCUCUCAAUCCGCACCGCCACGCCAUACCUCCUUCCACUUCCCCAGUGAGAGCACGGUGUAGUUCGAGAGAACGUCUCCCCUACCCAGCCGCUUCUAGACGACAACACAGGUGUUCCUGCCGGAUCUAACAGUACCUAGCUGCAAGGCGCCAGAGCUUGCCGCCGUAACCUCCAUGGCUGGAUCCAAGGCGGACCGCAGCGAGGAGAAAGGGGCUGCUUCCUCCGCACCGCCCUAGCUUGAGAAGAUGUUCGAGGUGCCAGUGGAGUUGUUGGUGGCCGGCAGUCGGACGACAUCACCGAAGACGCGAGAGUCGGAGCUGGUCAGCCAUUUCCUGGGUGGCACCGAGCCGGCCCUGUCCGUGCAGCUCGGCGACCUCGGCCACCUCGCCUACUCCCAUCCCAUGCCAACCAAGCCCUCUACCGCCGAACGGCCCAAGAUACUGGAAUCAUGCUUUCACUCUUAACAAAGCUUCAUUUUGUAGUUGAAAUUGCACAAGCUGUGCUGUUCUUUGCCAUGGAUUUUGUGUUAUCUUACCAAGAGCAGAACAAAAUUGGUAAUUGCUAUUGAUUUGUUGUAUUCUUCCUGAGACAGACUCAUUUACUCUGCUUUUACUCUGUAGUUAGACAUGAUUUGUUUCGUCUUUUGAGGAAGAGCCUAAAAAAUAAGUUCAAGGCAAGAUUUGGGACUUACCAAUAGGAAGGACAAAAAAUAGCUCAAGGCAAGGUUUGAGAUAAGUUUGUACAACCAAUGUAUGUCCAAAGAGAAAAUUUGGGUUGGAUGCAUAGUCAGUCAAUAGAGGAGAAACACAGCAGCCGGUUAAGUUACCCUGCAGGAAUAUUAUAAUUUUCUAUUUAGUCAAUGCUCAAAUCAAUGUAAAGCGAAAUUUGUACUAAUUAACAGCACACAAAUAUUGUACAUGAGCUCUCCGCCGUUGGACAGCACGCUGGUGAUGCUGCUGCUGCCCUCCUUCCUCUCCGAAGAAAGCUCCAGCAAGCUGAUGUGGAUGCUGUGUUGCUGCCCUCCUCUGCCCCCUUUUCUUUAUGAAGAUAGCUGAUAGCUGCAGGACUAAAUAGAGUAAAUUUUCAGUUCAAUUUUGGAUUCAUUUUACUGACCAAAGGUAGUAGGAAUAAUGAGGAAAAGCUCAGAUCUACAGGAGCUCAACUGCAGAGGCAAUGAUGACAUUCUGAUUCGUAUGUAUAUAGUGGAAAUAGUUUGUACUAAUGAUGAUCUGAUCUCCUAAUAGGUCCAAAACCUGUCAAAUGCUGUGUAUAUAAUGUAUAAAGGAUGCGAAAUAAAACAUGAUUUGUGGUCCUUUGGGAA
Molecule: non-coding RNA, 1430 nt
Organism: Oryza sativa Japonica Group (Japanese rice)
Lineage: Eukaryota; Viridiplantae; Streptophyta; Magnoliopsida; Poales; Poaceae
Source: RefSeq, a predicted model, not a curated record